UCCUACCUUCAGGUCGACGUCGAAUGAAUCUGUCGAGCCGAUCUCAUCUGAUGAGCUCCUUGAUCUCAUCUCAGAGCUGAAUGCACUCCUCCGUGUCAUGGCCGUGGUCAUGAUGAUAAAGGUAGAACUUGUUAGGGUUGCGCUUCCCGGGGUAUGUGUGCAUCCUUUCCGACCUCGGCAGCUGCUCCCUGACCUCCAUUAGCAUUUGGAUUUUCGAUGCAUUGAGAGGGGCAUAGCUGCGGAAU
This 245-nucleotide long non-coding RNA is filed under the name Elaeis guineensis (African oil palm). Its description in RNAcentral is "long non-coding RNA (EGUI_LNC045929)". Lineage: Eukaryota; Viridiplantae; Streptophyta; Magnoliopsida; Arecales; Arecaceae. The record is from RNAcentral.